Molecule: ribosomal RNA, 253 nt
Filed under: uncultured bacterium
Lineage: Bacteria
Description: partial 16S ribosomal RNA
Rfam family: Bacterial small subunit ribosomal RNA
Source: RNAcentral
UACGGAGGGUGCAAGCGUUGUUCGGAAUUAUUGGGCGUAAAGCGCGUGUAGGUGGUUGGGUAAGUCAGAUGUGAAAGCCUUCUGCUUAACAGAAGAAGUGCAUUUGAAACUGCCCUUCUAGAGUACGGGAGAGGAAAGUUGAAUUCCCGGUGUAGAGGUGAAAUUCGUAGAUAUCGGGAGGAACACCAGUGGCGAAGGCGGCUUUCUGGUCCGAUACUGACACUGAGACGCGAAAGCGUGGGGAGCAAACAGG